RNAcentral lists this long non-coding RNA (209 nucleotides) under Citrus maxima (pomelo). RNAcentral describes it as "long non-coding RNA (CMAX_LNC003510)". The record is from RNAcentral. Lineage: Eukaryota; Viridiplantae; Streptophyta; Magnoliopsida; Sapindales; Rutaceae.
GUGAGAGCUGCUGCUCUCCAACUUAGAGAGCAGCAGUUCGAACCCCCACAAUGCAUGUGGGGGUGUUUCCUUCCUCAAAUAAAAUUGAGUGAAGGCAGUCUGUUUCCUUGCCCCAGUGCGAGGAGUAGACAUCCCUCGAAUAUUUGAGAGGGUUAAAAUCUGGGCAGCGCUCCAUUAGAUUUGAUGUAUGUUGGUCUCAGUUAUAGUCU